Molecule: ribosomal RNA, 279 nt
Filed under: uncultured Thermovirga sp.
Lineage: Bacteria; Thermotogati; Synergistota; Synergistia; Synergistales; Thermovirgaceae
Description: partial 16S ribosomal RNA
Rfam family: Bacterial small subunit ribosomal RNA
Source: RNAcentral
UGCAUCCAGUUGCCAUCGGGCGAGCCGGGCACUCUGGAGGGACUGCCGGCGGACAAGCCGGAGGAAGGUGGGGAUGACGUCAAGUCAUCAUGGCCCUUAUGUCCAGGGCGACACACGUGCUACAAUGGCCGGCACAGCGGGAAGCGGAGGGGCGACCCUGAGCGGACCCCUUGAAAGCCGGUCCCAGUUCGGAUUGCAGUCUGCAACUCGACUGCAUGAAGUUGGAAUCGCUAGUAAUCGCGGAUCAGCCAAGCCGCGGUGAAUACGUUCCCGGGCCUU